RNAcentral lists this long non-coding RNA (1676 nucleotides) under Salvia miltiorrhiza (redroot sage). Its description in RNAcentral is "long non-coding RNA (SMIL_LNC010443)". Lineage: Eukaryota; Viridiplantae; Streptophyta; Magnoliopsida; Lamiales; Lamiaceae. The record is from RNAcentral.
CUUGUGACACCCAAAUCCGUUUUAAAUUUACAUGAAAACGCACGCGGAAAAACCAUGAAUAUAAGUAAAUAUUUAACAAGAAAAUAGUGAAAUAAAUUUUUAUUUAAAGAAUUUUACUCAAAAUAACAUCUUUAAGGAAAAAUAAAUACAAAACAUUUGACUCGCCAUUCGACCUUCCACGCGCCUCCGGCCUUUAAAACCUGAAAAUGUUAAGUAUGGGAUGAGCAUACAGGGUACACUCAGUGUGGGAACAUGCAAUCAUUGUCCACGUUAAUAAAAUGAGAAUCACAUAUGAUCAAUACAUUCGUGACUGAAAGUCGCACGGUGGCAUACCAAGGACCUUUCCGUCCUGGACCGAUUGAGCCGGCCCCUGGCGACUGGUUGCAACCAUAACUUUAACAUGAAAUCGCAUUGUGGCAUACCAAGGACGGUGAAGUCCUGGACCCAUUGAGCUGGCCCCUAGCGAUAUAAUUUAAUGCAACUCACAUAUGGUAAACACAUAAUAUUAAAAUGGACAAAGAUUAACCACAGCAUGUACUGAAAUAAAUCUCACACCUGAAACUUUGAACUUGAAGGUAAACUUUGAGUAAUUCAAUCAAAAGUAACGUCCUAGUCGCGCCGCACCUAGUCAGAUAAAUUCAAAUAAUAACAUAUAAGGGCCUAAUUAAACUUUAAAAAUAAUAGUAAUAGUAGUAGUUUAAAUCUUAAGAAUUUAUUAUCAUAAAAUCAUUUGAAAAAUAAUCAUCGGUUUAAUGAAUCAAAUAAUAAAAUGCAUGCUUCUUUAAAAUUUGAGUUUUAAUAAAAUCAUAUCCAACUGCUUAAAUAAAUUGAAGCCCAAGAUUAUAGUUAAUCUAAAGCCCAAGCCCACUUACUCUUCCUAAUUAAAACCUCAUUUAACUUCCACACCCAUCACAAACACACACAACUCACGCUUCUCACUUGCUCUCACUCUCAGUCGUUCUCUCUCCUCCCUCUCUUCCUUCCUCGGUCUUCCUCCUGCCACCGCCACCAGACGGCAACGCCGCCGCCGGAGCCGGCGGCCCUGCCUCCCCUUCUCUCCUUUCCUCGACCUCUCUCCCUCUCCUCUUCUCUCUUCUCACACCCAACGCACACACCCAGCGCCAUCGCGCGCCCCCUCCUCCGGCGAAAACUCCACCAGCCACCGCCACAACCACGCUUCUCCCCUGUCGCUCGCCCGGCUAGCAGCAACGCCGCCAUCGCCGCCCCCGGCGUCGACAGCAGCACAGCCCAGCCGACGCCCCUCCUUUUCCAGAUCUAGCACCGACCAUCCACCUCCUCCCUUUGUCCGAUCGGAACAGCACAACAGCGGCCGAGGCCACCGCACCACCGUCCCUGUCUCUUCCUGUCAGCCGCCGUGGCGCGCAGCGCCGGCGCCGCUGUUCAAUCGCUCCCCCUGUCCCAGGCCACAAAAUCCCUUUCUAGUUCCUUCUUCUAUUCUAUUCCUUUUUCUAUGUAAUUAACAAGAUUCAUUCUAUUAUGCAUAUGCUGUGAAUUUGAUUUGAAAACAAGAAUUUGUAGAAACUGUGUAUUGGAUUUAAAAACAAGGUUUUAUUUCUGCAGAAAAUAAAAUAUUUGAUACUGAAUAAAUUACAUAACUUUACAAAAUAAUUAAAGUUACCAGUGGAUGAGUGAUGUAAAUCAGUUGCUGUGAAUUG